RNAcentral lists this long non-coding RNA (1790 nucleotides) under Homo sapiens (human). Its description in RNAcentral is "non-protein coding LINC00539:9". The record is from RNAcentral. Lineage: Eukaryota; Metazoa; Chordata; Mammalia; Primates; Hominidae.
AUGACAAAGAAACAACUUUAAUACAGUGAGGAUACUGGGGAACAGACCAGAUGUGAGCAGACAGGGAAGUCUUUAGCAAAACUGUGGAGUGCCCAAAGCUUGGCUUCUGAUGCGUGGAGCCUUUCCGUUUUGUGUUCUUCCUCCUCACUCCACAUCCCACCCAAGAAACCUGGUAUUUUAAUAUUCUCCUCUUUGCUCCAUUAAAGCAUCAAACAUAUUCACACAAGGUUUACGUGACCAAGGAGUGCAAGAUAGGGAUUAAAAAAUAGACUUGAAAUACCAGCUCUGCCAUCUGCUAACUUUCUGACCAUUUUGGGCCUCAAGUUCCUCACCAACAAAGUGAGAAUAAUGAUACUACCCAGCAGGUUGUUACCGCUAUGUUUAUUAGUGUUCAUCCUAUUGGAGCAAGCUGACUGCUAACAACUUUAAAAUCAUGAUGGCUUAACACAAGUUUGUUUCUCACUAACACAGAGUCUAGUGUCGAUGGUCCUGAUCGGGUGGCUUUCUGGUGACCUGAGGACUCAAGGAUACUGCCCUUGCAUUUUAAGGUGCCACUGUCUUCAACACAGGAUCUUUAGGUUUUCGUUUGAAAGUUGUGGCUGCUUUAACUUGGCUUGGAAGCAUUUCGUUGUUGAGAACUAGGACCCGAGAUCCAGGGUGGGAGCUGGAAUAGAAAACUUUGCUAUGUGCCCAGGUAGAGAUGUGAUGAGCAUCAAGCUAGUCUCUGCCACAUUAUUAUUAUGGCUGUUGCUGUUAUUGUAACUAAUCCUGUGUAUUGAAACGGCAGUCAUUUUCCAGAUGUAACUACGGACCCUAACAGUUCACUGAUGUUCAUGGCCAUAAUUCCAGGAAGCCAUUUCUGAGAGCUUAUGUACCUUAAAUCCCAGUUUGAGGUGUCUAGGGAAGAGACAAUAGUCCAUUAAGGAUGACAGCAGGGAAGUCUAGUAACUUCUCUCCUCUCCACGAUACUUAGCAUGGUGUUGGACACAGCAGGUGCUGACCCAGUGACUGUGGCACUUACUCAUGGUGGAUGCACUACUCUAUUUCCUUGGGUCCCUUUCCCAUUUUCACACCCCUUGGCUCCACGUUUGCUUUUACUCUCGGUAUCCAGAACCCAUGCUUCUUUGUGAGAGGGCUGCCCUCAUGCUUCUGGAGUCUCCUUUACCUGUGUGCAGAGAGAGUGGGGGAUACCUAGAAACAUGCAUCCCUCUGAGAUGGCCCUUGACCAAUGGAGGGAGGGGCUCUCAGUCUCCAAAUCUCCUCUGUGGGAGGAGCCAGUGCCCUGCAAGCAAGGAUAUUUACGUUGUGAACUGGUAAAAUCUGAACUGCAGAAUAUCAAUUUCCAGACAUUCUUCCUAGAUGAUGCCGUCUGCCACGGGUCUUUUGUGGAGUCUGGUGAUGCUCUUGUAUGGAGUUUAGCAUCUUCAAAUGGUUGAUGUAUUUAGAUUGUGUGUAAAGCUCUGUGCUUUCUGCUUGUUGUUGAAAUGCAGCCUGGUUUCCUGCAGGUCCCUUGGGGUGUGGGUGGGAGCUGAUGCCUUGGCUUGCAUUGUGGGGAAGCUCAGCACAGACCACAAGGCAGGGGCUCACUGUCCCACCUGCGUGUAGAGGCUGCCUCUUCCUCCUGGGUGUCAUCAGCCAUCCAAAGCUCUGACCUGGUCUCCACCCCAGAUUUCACACUGACAGGUACUGCUGGGUGCAGAAGCAUCACUUCCUGACCUGGAAAUCGUUCCUAAUAAUGCAACCGAAAGGCCAUCCCACAUUUUUUUCCUUCACGACACUGACCAUAAUGA